UACAUUCACUACUGUAAGUUGCUCUGGAUAAGAGUGUCUGCUAAAUGACUCAAA
Non-coding RNA from Salmo salar (Atlantic salmon), 54 nucleotides. The record is from Rfam. NCBI's taxonomy places the organism in Eukaryota, Metazoa, Chordata, Actinopteri, Salmoniformes, Salmonidae.